GACGACCUUGAGAACCGUACCACUUUUGGAAUAUGUGGACGCUGUUCCCUUGUUCCACACUGUCCCUUCAAACAUCAAGACAUGGGAAUGACGGAACCGUGUAGGAUGAGGUCCAUGUCUCAGAGGAGAUACUCAUCAUGGAGUUUCAGAGAUCG
Molecule: long non-coding RNA, 155 nt
Organism: Thalassophryne amazonica
Lineage: Eukaryota; Metazoa; Chordata; Actinopteri; Batrachoidiformes; Batrachoididae
Exons: 3
Source: RefSeq, a predicted model, not a curated record